AGCGAACGCUGGCGGCAUGCUUAACACAUGCAAGUCGAACGAACUCUUCGGAGUUAGUGGCGGACCGGGGGGCAACACGUGGGAACGCGCCUUUUGGUUCGGCAUAACUCAGGGAAACAUGUGCUAAUACCGAAUGUGCCCACCGGGGGGAAGAUUUAUCGCCAUUAGAGCGGCCCGCGUUUGUUUAGUUUGUUGGUGUGGUAACGGCUCGCCACGUCGAGGAGCAGUAGCUGGUUGGCGAGGCUGCCCAGGGACACUGGGACUCGGCCACGGCCCCGACGCGUGCGAGAGGCAGCAGUGGGGGAUCUAGGGGAAUGAGCGAAAUCCUGACACAGCCAUGCCGCGUGAAUGAUGAAGGGCUUAGGAUUGUAAAAUUCUAUCGCCGGAGACGAUAAUGACGGUACCCAGAGAAGAAGCCCCGGCUAACUUCGUG
RNAcentral lists this ribosomal RNA (433 nucleotides) under uncultured bacterium. RNAcentral's name for it is "partial 16S ribosomal RNA". It matches the Rfam family "Bacterial small subunit ribosomal RNA", at positions 29 to 507 of the family's 1533-position model. The record is from RNAcentral.